Molecule: ribosomal RNA, 478 nt
Filed under: uncultured bacterium
Lineage: Bacteria
Description: partial 16S ribosomal RNA
Rfam family: Bacterial small subunit ribosomal RNA
Source: RNAcentral
GACGGACGCUGGCGGCGUGCUUAACACAUGCAAGUCGAACGGUAAGGCCCUUCGGGGUACACGAGUGGCGAACGGGUGAGUAACACGUGGGUGAUCUGCCCUGCACUUCGGGAUAAGCCUGGGAAACUGGGUCUAAUACCGGAUAGGACCACUGCCUGCAUGGGUGGUGGUGGAAAGCUUUUGCGGUGUGGGAUGGGCCCGCGGCCUAUCAGCUUGUUGGUGGGGGGAUGGCCUACCAAGGCGACGACGGGUAGCCGGCCUGAGAGGGUGAUCGGCCACACUGGGACUGAGAUACGGCCCAGACUCCUACGGGAGGCAGCAGUGGGGAAUAUUGCACAAUGGGCGCAAGCCUGAUGCAGCGACGCCGCGUGAGGGAUGACGGCCUUCGGGUUGUAAACCUCUUUCAGCACCGACGAAGCGCAAGUGAUGGUAGGUGCAGAAGAAGGACCGGCCAACUACGUGCCAGCAGCCGCCGUAA